GGAGAGGUGGCGGAGCCUGGUUGAACGCGCUACAUUCGAAACGUAGUGAACCUUUAUCGGUUCCGGGAGUUCAAAUCUCCCCCUCUCCG
Molecule: transfer RNA, 89 nt
Filed under: Candidatus Kerfeldbacteria bacterium RIFOXYA2_FULL_38_24
Lineage: Bacteria; Candidatus Kerfeldiibacteriota
Also listed under: 2 other names
Description: tRNA-Ser
Rfam family: tRNA
About the family: Transfer RNA (tRNA) molecules are approximately 80 nucleotides in length. Their secondary structure includes four short double-helical elements and three loops (D, anti-codon, and T loops).
Source: RNAcentral